Molecule: ribosomal RNA, 253 nt
Filed under: uncultured bacterium
Lineage: Bacteria
Description: partial 16S ribosomal RNA
Rfam family: Bacterial small subunit ribosomal RNA
Source: RNAcentral
UACGUAGGGUGCAAGCGUUAAUCGGAAUUACUGGGCGUAAAGCGUGCGCAGGCGGUUUUGUAAGUCUGUCGUGAAAGCCCCGGGCUCAACCUGGGAAUUGCGAUGGAGACUGCAAGGCUUGAAUCUGGCAGAGGGGGGUAGAAUUCCACGUGUAGCAGUGAAAUGCGUAGAGAUGUGGAGGAACACCGAUGGCGAAGGCAGCCCCCUGGGUCAAGAUUGACGCUCAUGAACGAAAGCGUGGGGAGCGAACAGG